UACGUAGGGGGCAAGCGUUGUCCGGAAUCAUUGGGCGUAAAGCGCGCGUAGGCGGCCCGGUAAGUCCGCUGUAAAAGUCCAGGGCUCAACCCUGGAAAGCCGGUGGAUACUGUCGGGCUAGAGUCCGGAAGAGGCGAGUGGAAUUCCUGGUGUAGCGGUGGAAUGCGCAGAUAUCAGGAGGAACACCGAUGGCGAAGGCAGCUCGCUGGGACGGUACUGACGCUGAGGCGCAA
Molecule: ribosomal RNA, 233 nt
Filed under: uncultured bacterium
Lineage: Bacteria
Description: partial 16S ribosomal RNA
Rfam family: Bacterial small subunit ribosomal RNA
Source: RNAcentral